GUGCCAGCCGCCGCGGUAAUACCGGCAGCCCGAGUGAUGGCCGAUAUUAUUGGGCCUAAAGCGUCCGUAGCUGGCCGAACAAGUCCGUCGGGAAAUCCACGUGCUUAACACGUGGGCGUCCGACGGAAACUGCAUAGCUUGGGACCGGAAGGCGCGACGGGUACGUCCGGGGUAGGAGUGAAAUCCCGUAAUCCUGGACGGACCGCCGAUGGCGAAAGCACGUCGCGAGAACGGAUCCGACAGUGAGGGACGAAAGCCAGGGUCUCGAACCGGAUUAGAAACCCCAGUAGUCC
RNAcentral lists this ribosomal RNA (293 nucleotides) under uncultured bacterium. RNAcentral's name for it is "partial 16S ribosomal RNA". It matches the Rfam family "Archaeal small subunit ribosomal RNA", at positions 455 to 747 of the family's 1478-position model. The record is from RNAcentral.